RNAcentral lists this ribosomal RNA (996 nucleotides) under Salmonella enterica subsp. enterica serovar Typhimurium. RNAcentral's name for it is "partial 23S ribosomal RNA". It matches the Rfam family "Bacterial large subunit ribosomal RNA", at positions 696 to 1606 of the family's 2925-position model. The record is from RNAcentral. Lineage: Bacteria; Pseudomonadati; Pseudomonadota; Gammaproteobacteria; Enterobacterales; Enterobacteriaceae.
UAAGUUGCAGGGUAUAGACCCGAAACCCGGUGAUCUAGCCAUGGGCAGGUUGAAGGUUGGGUAACACUAACUGGAGGACCGAACCGACUAAUGUUGAAAAAUUAGCGGAUGACCUGUGGCUGGGGGUGAAAGGCCAAUCAAACCGGGAGAUAGCUGGUUCUCCCCGAAAGCUAUUUAGGUAGCGCCUCGUGAAUUCAUCUCCGGGGGUAGAGCACUGUUUCGGCUAGGGGGCCAUCCCGGCUUACCAACCCGAUGCAAACUGCGAAUACCGGAGAAUGUUAUCACGGGAGACACACGGCGGGUGCUAACGUCCGUCGUGAAGAGGGAAACAACCCAGACCGCCAGCUAAGGUCCCAAAGUCAUGGUUAAGUGGGAAACGAUGUGGGAAGGCCCAGACAGCCAGGAUGUUGGCUUAGAAGCAGCCAUCAUUUAAAGAAAGCGUAAUAGCUCACUGGUCGAGUCGGCCUGCGCGGAAGAUGUAACGGGGCUAAACCAUGCACCGAAGCUGCGGCAGCGAACGUAUCACCCAAGACAACUUUACGGAGUUGACGAUUGACGGAGCGAAGCGACGUCAAAGCGUUCAUUAAAGUCGAGUUGGCUUAGGGAUACGUUCGUUGGGUAGGGGAGCGUUCUGUAAGCCUGUGAAGGUGUGUCGUGAGGCAUGCUGGAGGUAUCAGAAGUGCGAAUGCUGACAUAAGUAACGAUAAAGCGGGUGAAAAGCCCGCUCGCCGGAAGACCAAGGGUUCCUGUCCAACGUUAAUCGGGGCAGGGUGAGUCGACCCCUAAGGCGAGGCCGAAAGGCGUAGUCGAUGGGAAACGGGUUAAUAUUCCCGUACUUGGUGUUACUGCGAAGGGGGGACGGAGAAGGCUAUGUUGGCCGGGCGACGGUUGUCCCGGUUUAAGCGUGUAGGUGUGUGUUCCAGGUAAAUCCGGUUCACUUUAACACUGAGGCGUGACGACGAGGCACUACGGUGCUGAAGCAACAAAUGCCCUGCU